This 268-nucleotide unclassified non-coding RNA is filed under the name Ascomycota sp. Its description in RNAcentral is "partial contains small subunit ribosomal RNA, internal transcribed spacer 1, and 5.8S ribosomal RNA". The stretch from base 1 to 46 matches the Rfam family "Eukaryotic small subunit ribosomal RNA", at positions 1786 to 1831 of the family's 1831-position model. The record is from RNAcentral. Lineage: Eukaryota; Fungi; Ascomycota.
AAGUCGUAACAAGGUCUCCGUAGGUGAACCUGCGGAGGGAUCAUUACCGAGAUAGGGUCCUAACCGGGCCCGACCUCCAACCCAUUGUCUACCAAACCUCUGUUGCCUCGGCGGGCCGCUGGGAACCCCUUCACGGGGGGGAUCACCGUCGGCCUUUGCGCUCUCGAGUGCCCGUCGCAGGACCGUCACAAACUCUUUUGAAACGAGCAUGUUCUGAGUGGAUAUUAAUGCUUCAAUAAAACUUUCAACAACGGAUCUCUUGGUUCUG